RNAcentral lists this ribosomal RNA (209 nucleotides) under uncultured bacterium. RNAcentral's name for it is "partial 16S ribosomal RNA". It matches the Rfam family "Bacterial small subunit ribosomal RNA", at positions 524 to 732 of the family's 1533-position model. The record is from RNAcentral.
UACGUAGGGUGCGAGCGUUAAUCGGAAUUACUGGGCGUAAAGCGUGCGCAGGCGGUGAUGUAAGACAGGUGUGAAAUCCCCGGGCUUAACCUGGGAACUGCAUUUGUGACUGCAUCGCUGGAGUGCGGCAGAGGGGGAUGGAAUUCCGCGUGUAGCAGUGAAAUGCGUAGAUAUGCGGAGGAACACCGAUGGCGAAGGCAAUCCCCUGG